CGAACCUACGGGACGCAGCAGUAGGGAAUCUUCCACAAUGGACGAAAGUCUGAUGGAGCAACGCCGCGUGAGUGAAGAAGGGUUUCGGCUCGUAAAGCUCUGUUGGUAGUGAAGAAAGAUAGAGGUAGUAACUGGCCUUUAUUUGACGGUAAUUACUUAGAAAGUCACGGCUAACUACGUGCCAGCAGCCGCGGUAAUACGUAGGUGGCAAGCGUUGUCCGGAUUUAUUGGGUGUAAAGCGAGGGCAGACGGUUAAAUAAGUCUGAUGUGAAGGCCUUCGGCUCAACCGGAGAAUUGCAUCAGAA
This 305-nucleotide ribosomal RNA is filed under the name uncultured bacterium. RNAcentral's name for it is "bacterial SSU rRNA". It matches the Rfam family "Bacterial small subunit ribosomal RNA", at positions 332 to 631 of the family's 1533-position model. The record is from RNAcentral.